This 253-nucleotide ribosomal RNA is filed under the name uncultured bacterium. RNAcentral describes it as "partial 16S ribosomal RNA". It matches the Rfam family "Bacterial small subunit ribosomal RNA", at positions 524 to 776 of the family's 1533-position model. The record is from RNAcentral.
UACGUAGGGUGCAAGCGUUAAUCGGAAUUACUGGGCGUAAAGCGUGCGCAGGCGGUUCGCUGUGUCCGAUGUGAAAGCCCCGGGCUCAACCUGGGAAUGGCAUGGGAAACUGGCGGGCUGGAGUGUGGCAGAGGGGGGUGGAAUUCCGCGUGUAGCAGUGAAAUGCGUAGAGAUGCGGAGGAACACCGAUGGCGAAGGCAGCCCCCUGGGCCAACACUGACGCUCAGGCACGAAAGCGUGGGGAGCAAACAGG